RNAcentral lists this long non-coding RNA (1267 nucleotides) under Astyanax mexicanus (Mexican tetra). RNAcentral describes it as "lncRNA (ENSAMXG00005014467.1)". The record is from RNAcentral. Lineage: Eukaryota; Metazoa; Chordata; Actinopteri; Characiformes; Acestrorhamphidae.
AAGUAUUGUGAUCUUAUGUUUUUUUUAUUCUUUGAUAUGAACAUUCUUUUCUCUCUCCACAGAUUUUUUAACAAUUGCAACAAUCCUGGGAACAGGAAUAUUAGGUCUUCCAGUCACCAUCGCUCGUGCAGGACUGGUACCGUUCCUGGUUUCCUUCCUUACUGGUUUCUUUAUGCAGGCUCUCCUCAUAUACCUGUUUGUGGAUUUGCUGCAGCGAUGCCGAGCUGCGCUGAAGGAAUCAGUAACGAGUGUGGAGACGGAGCGAAUCCUAAUGCAGGACGUCAGCCUGGAGGAGUCCUCUGCACCUGACACUGAGGAGGCGGAGGAAGGAGAGGAGGAGGAGGCGGAGGAUGUGGAGGAGGCAGACGCAGGUCUGCUGCAGAAGGAUGCCGCGGUGCUGAAGCUGCAGGAGGAGCUUCAGCCCAACCUGCACGUCCUGGGAACGCUGUUCCUCAGCAAACGCUGCAGCCGGGCCUUCGACCUCAUCCUGCUCUCUCAGUUUGUGUCUAUCGGGAUCAGCUAUGUUCUGGCGGGGAGUGAAGCCUACGCUGCACUGCUUCAUACCAGUCACAUCUAUGUUAUCCCUGUGUUCACGUGGACACUCUCAUUGGGUAUUCUUCUGGCCCAGGUCAUCAUUCAGCCAAUCACGUCACUUCUGACACUUCUCAAAGGCAUCCUAUUGAUCAUAACGGUGGCGGUGACAUUUGUCGUGGGUUCAGAGGUUCGCCAGGAGACCACGAAUGACUUCACCCAGAUCGGGAAGCCUUUCCUCAUGGGGACUGUAGCUCUGGGUGGGAUCAUCAAUGUGAUGCCUUUCUUAUUUUCUGAAAUCUCCCACAACAAAACGCAGGUAACUCCAGUUAACGGAUGCUAACUCCACAUAGCACUACAGAGUGAAGCGUCCUGCGCUGAAGAAAUCAGCUUUGCUGUUUUUUUUUACAGGUCAUGUGGUUCAGAAGAGCUGUUCUGGGAGGUCUGGCUACGUGUACCGUUCUGAACGUAUUAUGGUGUUGGGCAGUGUUAGAGAUUGUUCCCCAGAUGGCUGUCGAGUCCGUCCUGGAGGAGAGGCCCUUAAAUACCAGCGCGGUCCGGAUAGAGACCACUCCACCGACACACACAUUUAUCUACUCCAACAUCUCCCUGGAGAAGUAAGUGUACACACACACACUCGCACACUCACACACACUCACACUGACUCACACACUCACAGCGAGCGUAUUGUGUGCACACACCUUCCCCAGUCUCCGCUGGUGUAAAGUGGGGCGGA